UGUGAACUUAUACCUUACUGUUGCCUCGGCGCAUGCUGGCCCCUAAGGGGUCCCCCACUCCGGUGAGGAGCAGGCACGCCGGCGGCCAAGUCAACUCUUGUUUUUACACUGAAACUCUGAGAGAAAAAAAACAAAAAAACAAAAUGAAUCAAAACUUUCAACAACGGAUCUCUUGGUUCUGGCAUCGAUGAAGAACGCAGCGAAAUGCGAUAAGUAAUGUGAAUUGCAGAAUUCAGUGAAUCAUCGAAUCUUUGAACGCACAUUGCGCCCUCCGGUAUUCCGGAGGGCAUGCCUGUUCGAGCGUCAUUUCAACCCUCAAGCCUGGCUUGGUGUUGGGGCACUGCCCGUAGAAGGGCAGGCCCUGAAAUUCAGUGGCGAGCUCGCCAGGACCCCGAGCGCAGUAGUUAAACCCUCGCUUUGGAAGGCCCUGGCGGUGCCCUGCCGUUAAACCCCC
RNAcentral lists this ribosomal RNA (454 nucleotides) under Diaporthe sp. E7014g. RNAcentral's name for it is "eukaryotic LSU rRNA". The stretch from base 153 to 306 matches the Rfam family "5.8S ribosomal RNA". Lineage: Eukaryota; Fungi; Ascomycota; Sordariomycetes; Diaporthales; Diaporthaceae. The record is from RNAcentral.